This 253-nucleotide ribosomal RNA is filed under the name uncultured bacterium. RNAcentral's name for it is "partial 16S ribosomal RNA". It matches the Rfam family "Bacterial small subunit ribosomal RNA", at positions 524 to 776 of the family's 1533-position model. The record is from RNAcentral.
UCCGUAGGCAGCAAGCGUUGUUCGGCAUUCCUGGGCGUCAAGCGCGUGUAGGCGGCUAUGCCAGUCGGAUGUGAAAGCCCUCGGCUCAACCGGGGAAGUGCACCCGAAACUGCAAAGCUAGAGUCUCGGAGAGGAUCGUGGAAUUCUCGGUGUAGAGGUGAAAUUCGUAGAUAUCGAGAGGAACACCGGUGGCGAAGGCGGCGAUCUGGACGAUGACUGACGCUGAGACGCGAAAGCGUGGGGAGCAAAAAGG